GACGAACGCUGGCGGCGUGCUUAACACAUGCAAGUCGAACGGAAAGGCCCUGCUUUUGUGGGGUGCUCGAGUGGCGAACGGGUGAGUAACACGUGAGUAACCUGCCCUUGACUUUGGGAUAACUUCAGGAAACUGGGGCUAAUACCGGAUAGGAGCUCCUGCUGCAUGGUGGGGGUUGGAAGGUUUCGGCGGUGGGGGAUGGACUCGCGGCUUAUCAGCUUGUUGGUGGGGUAGUGGCUUACCAAGGCUUUGACGGGUAGCCGGCCUGAGAGGGUGACCGGCCACAUUGGGACUGAGAUACGGCCCAGACUCCUACGGGAGGCAGCAGUGGGGAAUAUUGCACAAUGGGCGGAAGCCUGAUGCAGCAACGCCGCGUGCGGGAUGACGGCCUUCGGGUUGUAAACCGCUUUCGCCUGUGACGAAGCGUGAGUGACGGUAAUGGGUAAAGAAGCACCGGCUAACUACGUG
Molecule: ribosomal RNA, 468 nt
Filed under: uncultured bacterium
Lineage: Bacteria
Description: partial 16S ribosomal RNA
Rfam family: Bacterial small subunit ribosomal RNA
Source: RNAcentral